ACAUCCAAAAAUAAUCUGUACCACAGGGAAUGCUCUCUGUCAUGGACAGCCGUUUACACACGCUGUAACAGGAUCACUGCAGUUCCAGGCUGGAAUUCAGCUGGGAGAGGAGCCACACGUCUGCCUCGGAGCUCCCACUGCCACAGACAGGGCUGAGGAAACUCCUCUGCUGGGCUUGGAUGUCUGUUCUGAACUGUCACCCUUUGAGGUCACCUUUCUGCCUCUAAACCCUUGAGAAACCCUACAGAAAUGGGGAUGGCAUUGCCAAUAUGUGUGCUCUAACUUGUUUUGCUUCUCUGGAAAAAUCAAACACGAUAACUGAUAAUGCAAAUAAGAGACAGAAACAUGAGGUGAUGCCACUUGGCCAAGGCUACAGAGGAAGGAGGUGGUAACAGAAUUGUACCCUGACGUUUCCCAGAGGUGAAGCCCGAGGAGAGUUUUCAUAAGCUCCAUGAAAGUCUUCAGCUUGGCCCUUGGAGUUCAUCUGACCAAAGCUGGUGGCUGCUGCUCGACUGCCCAGCCCUGGGGUCUCUGGGCUGUAGGAUGGGAGGCCUGAUGCCCCUCGGUCCUUGGCUCCUGCCUGGCUGUUCCUAGGGAAGCUGGGUUUCUUCAUGGUGACCUGCACAGCUGGCCUGUGGGCAGCACCUGAAAAGCUCUCCAGCUCUUUUGCUCCUGGAAGCAGAAUUGUCCCCAAGUCAGGUGGCCUUCAGCACAAGCCAAGCAGGUCAAGUGUUACAAUAAACAAGGUACAGACACAGCCCAUGUGUUGGACCACACUGGAAUCCCGAAGGGAUGAAGCACAGGGAUGAGACUCCUCUGUGAGAAGGAACAUCAUCUCCACAUUGUCAUCCUUGACCCAGGUAGAAGAGGGAUCCACAGAACAACUAGCAUCCAACUUUGAAAGGUAUCCAAGAAGAUUGCAUUUUUGGGGCAUUUCUCUUCUCUUGAGCCUACAAAAUUGUUUUGGGUUUGGCUUCUGCUUGGCAAAUAUCUGUGGUUCUCCCUGGUGUUGAGCUGCAGCAAAUUCUUUUGUGCUUAGUUGCUCAACACAGAAAUCCAUGUGCUUACCUGGGGAAACAGAGAGAUGAGCACUGGAUGCUGCAGAUCCAAAUUCAUUUUCAGCAACACAUUUAAAUAUUCCAGAGUCUUCUGGAAAAGCUUCUGUAAUAACCAGGGUGCAGACUUCCUCUGAAAUAACAAAUUCAGGUGUGAUGUUGUACCAGAGAGCCAAAUGUUAACCUACAGGAGUUGGUCCUUGCAGGAGGAGUGUGACUUAGUGA
Molecule: long non-coding RNA, 1280 nt
Filed under: Manacus vitellinus (golden-collared manakin)
Lineage: Eukaryota; Metazoa; Chordata; Aves; Passeriformes; Pipridae
Description: lncRNA (ENSMVIG00005010772.1)
Source: RNAcentral